GACGAACGCUGGCGGCGUGCCUAAUACAUGCAAGUCGAACGAAGCUUUUUUAACUGGUGCUUGCACCGACUGAAACAACUGAGUGGCGAACGGGUGAGUAACACGUGGGUAACCUGCACCAAAGCGGGGGAUAACAUUUGGAAACAGAUGCUAAUACCGACUUACUACAGAAACCACAUGGUUUCCGUUUCAAAAAUGGUUUCGUCUCAUCCUUUGGGAGGGAACCGCGGCGUAUUAGCUAGUUGGUAAGGUAAUGGCUUACCAAGGCAAUGAUACGUAGCCGAACUGAGAGGUUGAUCGGCCACAUUGGGACUGAGACACGGCCCAAACUCCUACGGGAGGCAGCAGUAGGGAAUCUUCCACAAUGGACGAAAGUCUGAUGGAGCAACGCCGCGUGAGUGAAGAAGGUUUUCGGAUCGUAAAACUCUGUUGUCAGAGAAGAACGUGUGCGAGAGUAACUGUUCGUGCAGUGACGGUAUCUGGCCAGAAAGCCACGGCUAACUACGUGCCAGCCGCCGCGGUAA
Molecule: ribosomal RNA, 524 nt
Filed under: uncultured bacterium
Lineage: Bacteria
Description: partial 16S ribosomal RNA
Rfam family: Bacterial small subunit ribosomal RNA
Source: RNAcentral